CUCUCUCUCUUUCUCUCUAACUGAAAAUACUUGUUCUAUUUUGGUAGCCAUGGACUCAUCAAGCUGGUUAGAACUUGAUUCUUCUCUCAGUUUCGACAUCAAUCUCAAUUCUCACAGGAUUCUUCAUUCAAACUCCUGAAAUGGGAGUUUGAAUGAAGAAUCCUAUGAGAAUUGAGAUUGAUGUCGAAACUGAGAGAAGAAUCAAGUUCUAACCAGCUUUGAAUCUAUGGCUGCCAAAGUAGAACAAGUCUUAAUUUUCAGUU
Long non-coding RNA from Telopea speciosissima, 263 nucleotides. RefSeq lists it as uncharacterized. Lineage: Eukaryota; Viridiplantae; Streptophyta; Magnoliopsida; Proteales; Proteaceae. The record is from RefSeq and is a predicted model, not a curated record. The transcript has 4 exons.